CGAGUCCCGGGAUCUCAGAGAAGCUUUGGAAAAAUGGAUUGUGUAAGAAACUACCUGCCUCUUCUCAACAAGGUGUUUAUCGAAUUUCAGUCUCUUCGUGAUGCUGAUCGCCUUGGCGUUUGGUACAGCCUUCUAAAACGGGCCACCGGCCACAAAUUGUCAAGGCUGAAAAUACCACACGGUGGAUGUACCUCACUGCCACCAAGAUUGCCAGACAAAGCUUUGCCAGACAGCGAGGUUGCUGUUGAUGGUGCAACUGUCC
Oreochromis niloticus (Nile tilapia) is the source of this 262-nucleotide long non-coding RNA. RefSeq lists it as uncharacterized. The record is from RefSeq and is a predicted model, not a curated record. Lineage: Eukaryota; Metazoa; Chordata; Actinopteri; Cichliformes; Cichlidae. The transcript is spliced from 3 exons.